Molecule: long non-coding RNA, 255 nt
Filed under: Homo sapiens (human)
Lineage: Eukaryota; Metazoa; Chordata; Mammalia; Primates; Hominidae
Description: lncAB533.1
Source: RNAcentral
CUCACACACACCACUCACAUAUAUACACAUACGCCACUUGUGUGUAUUUGUAAGAAAGUAUGUAUGUGCACCUUCACUUGUGCAAUCACACACCAUACACAUCACAGCCACACUCACACAUGCACACACCUUCACUCACACAUGCACACAUGUACUCAUAUACACAUACUUUCACACAAUCACACUACACACAUCACACGCCACUCAUACAUUCAUGCUCACACAUGCACAUACACUCACAUACACCAUACCCAC